RNAcentral lists this ribosomal RNA (253 nucleotides) under uncultured bacterium. Its description in RNAcentral is "partial 16S ribosomal RNA". It matches the Rfam family "Bacterial small subunit ribosomal RNA", at positions 524 to 776 of the family's 1533-position model. The record is from RNAcentral.
UACGUAGGGGGCAAGCGUUGUCCGGAAUCAUUGGGCGUAAAGAGCGUGUAGGCGGCCCGAUAAGUCCGCCGUGAAAGUCCAGGGCUCAACCCUGGAAUGCCGGUGGAAACUGUCGGGCUGGAGUCCGGAAGAGGCGAGUGGAAUUCCUGGUGUAGCGGUGAAAUGCGUAGAUAUUGGGAGGAACACCAGUGGCGAAGGCGGCUCACUGGACCGGUACUGACGCUGAUGCGCGAAAGCGUGGGGAGCAAACAGG